CAUUAAGGUUUUCCUAGACUCUGUCAGUUUCUUAAUUUCAAGUAACUUCUGAGAAGUAAGUUUUGUGUCUAAAAUGCUCUGUACUUUAUUAAUAUGACCUGCCACUUAUUCCCUUAUUUUUAGUAGUGGGUAUCUCAUCCUUUAUGGGCUUAUACAAAUUAAAUUUAUGCAAACUUUGCCCUCAGUGCCAGUGGGACUGAAGCAAUGUUGAAGUCUCAAGUGUGUGUAUUUGUACAUGGGUUUCUUUACAGAGUUAAAGCUUGUACUUCAAAAGAACAUGGGCAUCAUUUUGAAGACUGUGUGGUCCAUAGCAGCUGCCAUAAUGUUAUAAUUUUAUACUGUGAUGUCCUUCAGUUGGCCUCUGCUGAAACCUGAGCUGUCACGCUGAGGUGCAGAAGACAAAAGGUUCCUUUUAAUCAAGGUAUGCAGGAGAAAAGAACAAUUUCAACUAAGUGGAAAGUCUCAAAAAUGAGGCUCAAUUUAGCAUAUAAAUGAAAAAUUCAUCAAUAAAACAAAUCUAUAUAACA
This 527-nucleotide long non-coding RNA is filed under the name Anser brachyrhynchus (Pink-footed goose). RNAcentral describes it as "lncRNA (ENSABRG00000001620.1)". The record is from RNAcentral. Lineage: Eukaryota; Metazoa; Chordata; Aves; Anseriformes; Anatidae.